GACGGACGCUGGCGGCGCGCCUAACACAUGCAAGUCGAACGGUGAAGAGGAGCUUGCUCCUCGGAACAGUGGCGGACGGGUGAGUAACACGUGAGCAACCUGGCUCUAAGAGGGGGACAACAGUUGGAAACGACUGCUAAUACCGCAUGACGUAUCGGGAUGGCAUCUUCCUGAUACCAAAGAUUUUAUCGCUUAGAGAUGGGCUCGCGUCUGAUUAGAUAGUUGGCGGGGUAACGGCCCACCAAGUCGACGAUCAGUAGCCGGACUGAGAGGUUGAACGGCCACAUUGGGACUGAGACACGGCCCAGACUCCUACGGGAGGCAGCAGUGGGGGAUAUUGGACAAUGGGGGCAACCCUGAUCCAGCGACGCCGCGUGAGGGAAGAAGGUUUUCGGAUUGUAAACCUCUGUUGACGGAGAAAAAAAUGAUGGUAUCCGUUUAGAAAGCCACGGCUAACUACGUG
Molecule: ribosomal RNA, 463 nt
Filed under: uncultured bacterium
Lineage: Bacteria
Description: partial 16S ribosomal RNA
Rfam family: Bacterial small subunit ribosomal RNA
Source: RNAcentral